This 2068-nucleotide long non-coding RNA is filed under the name Oryctolagus cuniculus (rabbit). RNAcentral's name for it is "lncRNA (ENSOCUG00000033891.1)". Lineage: Eukaryota; Metazoa; Chordata; Mammalia; Lagomorpha; Leporidae. The record is from RNAcentral.
AUGCUCUCACGUGAGCACCAGCACCGUGCCUUCCUUCCAGCAAACCCCACUCCUCCACCACCUGCACUGGCGGCUCUGGACCCACUGGUCUCGCCGGACAGCAGGAGUCACGGCACCAGACCACCACCUCCCAAUCAAAAGGGAAGCCCCCAGCUCUGGAUCAACGCCCACUGGAACUGGACCGCCCACCUACUUCAGGAAGGAAGGGACACAGCCCGCCCUGCACAGCCCAGUUGCCUCCAGAGACAGCAGCUUCCUCCCUGGAAACUUCGCGGGGCAGGCAGCAUGUCCUCCAGGCCACGGCUCCAGGUACAUCUGGGUGCCCUGAGACCAGGGGCCCCGCCGACCCGACCUGCCCUGCGAUGCACCUGCCACCGCUGCUGCGCUGCGUGUGAAACCCAGCCGGUAAAGGCGCCUAAGCCUGCCGCCGCUCGCAUCCCAGAAGCCGCGGGGUGCGGGUCGCGCGGAUCAGCAGAGAAGGGGCAGCAGCCCGCACCCCAGGAAGCCGCGGGGUGCGGGUCGCAUGGAGCGGCAGGGAAGCGGCAGCAGCCGGGGUCUCCAAAGGCUCCGGAGCCCAGGACUAGGAGCGCCGCCGCCGGCUUACCUCCGAGGUGCGGAGUCCCUGUUCCCGACGCGGAGGCGCUUCGUCCCCAGGACGCUCCGGAGGGUUUAAGAGCAGGGGUGGGGGCGGGGGGGCGACAGGGGAGUAGGGGUUGGCGGGAGAGCAGAGGUGAGGGCAGCCCGCUGGAGGGAGCAGAAGGGCCCGGAGGGAUCAGCCUCUGCCGCCUGCGGGAAAGGAACGAUCGCCUGGCGACCAGCAUGGACCAGGGGAAGAUAGUGGAGCUAUGCGCCCUGGGGGCUGUGGGGCGGGGCGCGAGGCGGGCCGCGGGGGCGGGGCAGGGGGCAGCCAGGGCUGGGUCCUGCGGGAAGACAAGGGAGGGGAUGACCACAAGCGAGAAAUUUGGGUCAGGGUAUCCGUGGCCCAGUCCCGUUGCCUCCAACACGUGGCGGAUCCCUCUUGCUCCUGACCCCGGAGACCCCACAGAGAGACCUCGCCAGGGGGCCUGACCUGAAUGGUACAACUGCCUCUGAGGAGGACAAGGAAGGGGCGCCCCGAGGGCCUGAGGAAAGCCCAUGUUCCAGGAGCAGGUGAGGAGCAGCAUGCUUCCAGGGUCCUAAAGCCAAACCAGCUCCCCCGGGUCCUCUCCCAUUCCCUGAUCUGUGCAUCUUUUCCUGUGCAAAGCAGAGAAGCUCCCAGAGCCCUGGGCCACUUCUGAGGGGCUGUGGUAGGGCCAGGCAUGCAGCUGUCCCCGCUCCUGUGGGCUGGGGGUGGGGGAGAAGCGCAAGGGCAUUCCGGGAGCCAAGACCAGCCUCCUCCUACAGGGCUCCGUGCAGCUGCUCAGCUCUUAGGGGGCUUUGCUCCCUGCACUCACUGCCUGCCCCGGACCCCACACCCAAGUUCUCCUUGUGUUCCCCUUGGCAGAGUCUGACAGAGGGGUAAAGGUCAGGGCUGGGCAGUCUUGACCAGCAGGGAGGCCCUGAACGUCCCACCUAGCCUGAGAUGUCUGGGUGAGUCUGGCUUUCCCCCAAGGCCGGACUUGAGCCCCCAAGUUAACUUUUUAAAACGCUCCCCCUGAGGUGUAGGGGAAAGACGGGCUCCACAUGCGUCCUCAGAGGUGGGCAGGGGUCCAGAGCCUCCACGGGCUGGCUCUCCCAUGUGAACGCCGGCCUUGCUGUGCUGCAGUCUGCUGGGCGUGUGUGUUCGUUCUGGCGCACGUGCUAGGCCCUGCACACACGAGGUCCCCACCCCGGGCAGGGCUGGAAGACAGCUCCUCCAAGAAGCACAAGGUGAGCUGGUGGGGGAGGGACACGCCCACUUUAGGAGACUAUUCAUGGAAUCUGCCAGAGGCCACGGACCUAAAAUACAGUCCUCACCCCUCCUGUCACUUCUGCAACACAGUCACGGACGGCACAGGCGCCAGGCACAAUCACAUGCACACACAGACUUGGUACAGGCACCAGGUACAAUCACACAUGGACACGGCACAGGCCCAAUCUCACACAGACG